UUAAGUUCAGCGGGUAUCCCUACCCGAUCCGAGGUCAACAGUGCUGGGGGCCGGGCUCCUUACCCCCAGACGACGCAAGACUUAUCACGCGUCUCCGUGGGGGGGACUUGGAAACCCUCGCCGAUGAAUUUGAAGACGAGCCUUCACAGACAAAGUGAAGGCAAGACCGUCCAAGACCGAAAAGAGGCCCCCUUCGCAAG
Molecule: unclassified non-coding RNA, 200 nt
Filed under: Phallus sp.
Lineage: Eukaryota; Fungi; Basidiomycota; Agaricomycetes; Phallales; Phallaceae
Description: partial internal transcribed spacer 2
Source: RNAcentral